This 488-nucleotide long non-coding RNA is filed under the name Pan troglodytes (chimpanzee). RNAcentral describes it as "lncRNA (ENSPTRG00000053314.1)". Lineage: Eukaryota; Metazoa; Chordata; Mammalia; Primates; Hominidae. The record is from RNAcentral.
UCAGAUUAGCAAGCUAAACAGAGAAAAAGAUAACACUCAAGAAGCUGCCUAUAUGUAAGAGAUUCCUUUGAGAACUUUCAAAUGGCUCCUUUCUACAAAAGACCUGGGAAUACUUAACCCCCCACCACUAGCACACUCAAAGCUCAAGGCAAAUGCAUUUUCAAGAUUGACAGGGUCUUGGACUCUGAAAGUCUUUGAGUGGGAGAAAGAAGAUCAAUGUUGGCUCAAGUGGUCAGAAAAGGCUUCAAGAAGAAACACAUUCAUGCGGUAGAUGACCCUAGAGAAGGGAGUGAUACUGCUUACUAAAGCAGGAUCCAGGUAAGCACCUGUCAAGCUCCUGGGGGUCUUCGUGGAUUCAGGGAUUUCUCAGUCACCAUUACUAUAAUGAUACAGUGGGUCUCUGUAUUAGCCCGUUUUCAUACUGCUGAUAAAGACAUGCUUGGGAAGAAAAAGAAGGUUAAUUGAACUUACAGUUCCACAUAGCUGGG